UUGGCCAAUUCCGGGACUGAACUCUCGUGGGUCUGCAGUGCUUUUCGUUGGAACUUGUAGCACCAUGAGAUUCAGCUCCGGUGCUGGUCUU
Culex quinquefasciatus (southern house mosquito) is the source of this 91-nucleotide microRNA precursor. It matches the Rfam family "mir-998 microRNA precursor family". NCBI's taxonomy places the organism in Eukaryota, Metazoa, Arthropoda, Insecta, Diptera, Culicidae. The record is from Rfam.